GGUGUAGACCACAUGUAGACGUGGUGCAGGUGUAGACCACAUGCAGACCUGGUGUAGACCACAUGCAGAACUGGUGCAGACCACAUGCAGACGUGGUGCAGGUGUAGACCACAUGUAGACGUGGUGCAGGUGAAGACCA
Long non-coding RNA from Sphaeramia orbicularis (orbiculate cardinalfish), 139 nucleotides. RefSeq lists it as uncharacterized. Lineage: Eukaryota; Metazoa; Chordata; Actinopteri; Kurtiformes; Apogonidae. The record is from RefSeq and is a predicted model, not a curated record. The transcript is spliced from 3 exons.